AACUGAUGAAUGAGUCAUACUGAAUCAUGCCCUUUUGGCUGGGAACAGUAAACCAAGAUAUGUAAAUGAUGCAGCCAAACUCCGACUUUCAGCAGGCAGAAAAGAUGGCUGAACAGGAACUCUGCUAGAAUCCCCAGAACUGUGAACGUGGUGGAACAGUUCAAAGCGGUCAGAGCAGCGAACGCGGUGACGGAGAAGCAAGAGAAUAAAGAGUUGGUUGGCCCAUGCACAUGUGUAACCACCCCUGGCAAAGGCCCUCGCUGUGCAGCUGCCUCUCCUGGGUACACACCUCCUGAUACAGAAUUUGCUGAGAACAUGACAGGAAUUUUUAUCCU
RNAcentral lists this long non-coding RNA (335 nucleotides) under Apteryx rowi (Okarito brown kiwi). RNAcentral describes it as "lncRNA (ENSARWG00000014615.1)". Lineage: Eukaryota; Metazoa; Chordata; Aves; Apterygiformes; Apterygidae. The record is from RNAcentral.